RNAcentral lists this transfer RNA (76 nucleotides) under Anaerolineaceae bacterium. RNAcentral describes it as "tRNA-Ala". It matches the Rfam family "tRNA". From Rfam's summary of the family: Transfer RNA (tRNA) molecules are approximately 80 nucleotides in length. Their secondary structure includes four short double-helical elements and three loops (D, anti-codon, and T loops). Lineage: Bacteria; Bacillati; Chloroflexota; Anaerolineae; Anaerolineales; Anaerolineaceae. The record is from RNAcentral.
GGGCCUAUAGCUCAGCUGGGAGAGCGCUUCAAUGGCAUUGAAGAGGUCAUGAGUUCGAGUCUCAUUAGGUCCACCU